Molecule: non-coding RNA, 102 nt
Organism: Bombyx mori (domestic silkworm)
Lineage: Eukaryota; Metazoa; Arthropoda; Insecta; Lepidoptera; Bombycidae
Source: RefSeq, marked provisional
AAUAUCUUAAUAAUUUCUUAACGAUUUGUAGUUGCUAAAAAUAUAUCGUUUUAUACAACGUAGCACAUACGGGCGACGGACAAACGUAUGAUUUUGUUGGAA